GUUGURUGGUUAAGUGACUAAGCGUACACGGUGGAUGCCUUGGCAGUCAGAGGCGAUGAAAGACGUAGUAACUUGCGAUAAGCCCAGAUUAGGUAGUAACAACCAUUUGAGUCUGGGAUUUCUGAAUGGGGAAACCCACGUGCAUAAGCACGUAUCCUUACCUGAAUACAUAGGGUAAGGARGCGAACCGGGGGAACUGAAACAUCUAAGUACCCCGAGGAAAAGAAAUCAACCGAGAUUCCGAAAGUAGCGGCGAGCGAAAUUGGACUAGCCCUUAAGCUUUACACGCGUUAGACGAACGGUCUGGAAAGUCCGACGAUACAGGGUGAUAGUCCCGUAGUUGACGACGUGUGUUCAGUGAAAUCGAGUAGGGCGGGACACGUGAUAUCCUGUCUGAAUAUGGGGGGACCAUCCUCCAAGGCUAAAUACUACUGACUGACCGAUAGUGAACCAGUACCGUGAGGGAAAGGCGAAAAGAACCCCUGUGAGGGGAGUGAAAUAGAACCUGAAACCGUGUACGUACAAGCAGUAGGAGCAGGCUUUGUCCUGUGACUGCGUACCUUUUGUAUAAUGGGUCAGCGACUUAUAUUCAGUGGCAAGGUUAACCAUCUAGGGGAGCCGUAGGGAAACCGAGUCUUAACUGGGCGUUCAGUCUCUGGAUAUAGACCCGAAACCAGGUGAUCUAGCCAUGGGCAGGUUGAAGGUUGAGUAACAUCAACUGGAGGACCGAACCGACUAAUGUUGAAAAAUUAGCGGAUGACUUGUGGCUAGGGGUGAAAGGCCAAUCAAACCUGGAGAUAGCUGGUUCUCCCCGAAAGCUAUUUAGGUAGCGCCUCGGACGAAUACUACUGGGGGUAGAGCACUGUUAAGGCUAGGGGGUCAUCCCGACUUACCAACCCUUUGCAAACUCCGAAUACCAGUAAGUACUAUCCGGGAGACACACGGCGGGUGCUAACGUCCGUCGUGGAGAGGGAAACAACCCAGACCGCCAGCUAAGGUCCCAAAUUACUACUAAGUGGGAAACGAUGUGGGAAGGCUCAGACAGCCAGGAUGUUGGCUUAGAAGCAGCCAUCAUUUAAAGAAAGCGUAAUAGCUCACUGGUCGAGUCGGCCUGCGCGGAAGAUGUAACGGGGCUAAGUAGUAAACCGAAGCUGCGGCAAUGUGCUUUUGCACAUUGGGUAGGGGAGCGUUCUGUAAGCGGUUGAAGGUGUGUGGUAACGCAUGCUGGACGUAUCAGAAGUGCGAAUGCUGACAUGAGUAACGAUAAAGGGGGUGAAAAACCUCCUCGCCGGAAGACCAAGGGUUCCUGUCCAACGUUAAUCGGGGCAGGGUAAGUCGACCCCUAAGGCGAGGCCGAAAGGCGUAGUCGAUGGGAAACGGGUUAAUAUUCCCGUACUUCUUACAAUUGCGAUGGGGGGACGGAGAAGGCUAGGUGGGCCUGGCGACGGUUGUCCAGGUUCAAGUGCGUAGGCUKAAGAGUUAGGUAAAUCCGGCUCUUUUACCAGGUGGCUGCAACUGUUUAUUAAAAACACAGCACUGUGCAAAAUCGUAAGAUGACGUAUACGGUGUGACGCCUGCCCGGUGCCGGAAGGUUAAUUGAUGGGGUUAGACUUCGGUCGAAGCUCUUGAUCGAAGCCCCGGUAAACGGCGGCCGUAACUAUAACGGUCCUAAGGUAGCGAAAUUCCUUGUCGGGUAAGUUCCGACCUGCACGAAUGGCGUAAUGAUGGCCACGCUGUCUCCACCCGAGACUCAGUGAAAUUGAAAUCGCUGUGAAGAUGCAGUGUACCCGCGGCUAGACGGAAAGACCCCGUGAACCUUUACUACAGCUUGGCACUGAACAUUGACCCUACAUGUGUAGGAUAGGUGGGAGGCUUUGAAGCACGUACGCCAGUAUGUGUGGAGCCGUCCUUGAAAUACCACCCUUGUAGUGUUGAUGUUCUAACGUUGACCCCUUAUCGGGGUUGCGGACAGUGCCUGGUGGGUAGUUUGACUGGGGCGGUCUCCUCCCAAAGAGUAACGGAGGAGCACGAAGGUGGGCUAAUCACGGUUGGACAUCGUGAGGUUAGUGCAAUGGCAUAAGCCCGCUUGACUGCGAGAAUGACAAUUCGAGCAGGUGCGAAAGCAGGUCAUAGUGAUCCGGUGGUUCUGAAUGGAAGGGCCAUCGCUCAACGGAUAAAAGGUACUCCGGGGAUAACAGGCUGAUACCGCCCAAGAGUUCAUAUCGACGGCGGUGUUUGGCACCUCGAUGUCGGCUCAUCACAUCCUGGGGCUGAAGUCGGUCCCAAGGGUAUGGCUGUUCGCCAUUUAAAGUGGUACGCGAGCUGGGUUUAGAACGUCGUGAGACAGUUCGGUCCCUAUCUGCCGUGGGCGUUGGAAGAUUGAAGGGGGCUGCUCCUAGUACGAGAGGACCGGAGUGGACGAACCUCUGGUGUUCGGGUUGUGUCGCCAGACGCAUUGCCCGGUAGCUAAGUUCGGAAUCGAUAACCGCUGAAAGCAUCUAAGCGGGAAGCGAGCCCUGAGAUGAGUCUUCCCUGAUACUUUAAGUAUCCUAAAGGGUUGUCGGAGACUACGACGUUGAUAGGUCAGGUGUGUAAGUGCUGUGAGGCAUUGAGCUAACUGAUACUAAUUGCCCGUGAGGCUUAACCAUACAACACCCAAGGGGUUU
This 2666-nucleotide ribosomal RNA is filed under the name Vibrio parahaemolyticus. RNAcentral's name for it is "23S ribosomal RNA". Lineage: Bacteria; Pseudomonadati; Pseudomonadota; Gammaproteobacteria; Vibrionales; Vibrionaceae. The record is from RNAcentral.